AACGAACGCUGGCGGCAGGCUUAACGCAUGCAAGUCGAGCGCCCCGCAAGGGGAGCGGCAGACGGGUGAGUAACGCGUGGGAACGUACCUUUUGGUUCGGAACAACUCCGGGAAACUGGAGCUAAUACCGGAUAAGCCCUAACGGGGAAAGAUUUAUCGCCGAAAGAUCGGCCCGCGUCUGAUUAGCUAGUUGGUGAGGUAACGGCUCACCAAGGCGACGAUCAGUAGCUGGUCUGAGAGGAUGAUCAGCCACACUGGGACUGAGACACGGCCCAGACUCCUACGGGAGGCAGCAGUGGGGAAUAUUGGACAAUGGGCGCAAGCCUGAUCCAGCCAUGCCGCGUGAGUGAUGAAGGCCUUAGGGUUGUAAAGCUCUUUUGUCCGGGAAGAUAAUGACUGUACCGGAAGAAUAAGCCCCGGCUAACUUCGUG
This 431-nucleotide ribosomal RNA is filed under the name uncultured bacterium. Its description in RNAcentral is "partial 16S ribosomal RNA". It matches the Rfam family "Bacterial small subunit ribosomal RNA", at positions 29 to 507 of the family's 1533-position model. The record is from RNAcentral.